This 253-nucleotide unclassified non-coding RNA is filed under the name uncultured Flavobacteriaceae bacterium. RNAcentral's name for it is "contains 16S-23S intergenic spacer region". It matches the Rfam family "Bacterial small subunit ribosomal RNA", at positions 524 to 776 of the family's 1533-position model. Lineage: Bacteria; Pseudomonadati; Bacteroidota; Flavobacteriia; Flavobacteriales; Flavobacteriaceae. The record is from RNAcentral.
UACGGAGGAUCCAAGCGUGAUCCGGAAUCAUUGGGUUUAAAGGGUCCGUAGGCGGGAGAAUAAGUCAGUGGUGAAAGUCUGCAGCUCAACUGUAGAACUGCCAUUGAAACUGUUGUCCUUGAGUCAUUAUGAAGUGGUUAGAAUAUGUAGUGUAGCGGUGAAAUGCGUAGAUAUUACAUAGAAUACCGAUUGCGAAGGCAGAUCACUAAGCAUUUACUGACGCUGAUGGACGAAAGCGUAGGUAGCGAACAGG